UACGAAGGGGGCUAGCGUUGCUCGGAAUCAUUGGGCGUAAAGCGCGUGUAGGCGGCUCGAUAAGUCCGGUGUGAAACCUUGGGGCUCAACCCCAAGCCUGCACUGGAUACUGCCGAGCUAGAGUCCGGGAGGGGAGAGCGGAAUUCCUAGUGUAGCGGUGAAAUGCGCAGAUAUUAGGAAGAACACCGGUGGCGAAGGCGGCUCUCUGGAACGGUACUGACGCUGAGACGCGAAAGCGUGGGGAGCGAACAGG
This 253-nucleotide ribosomal RNA is filed under the name uncultured bacterium. RNAcentral's name for it is "partial 16S ribosomal RNA". It matches the Rfam family "Bacterial small subunit ribosomal RNA", at positions 524 to 776 of the family's 1533-position model. The record is from RNAcentral.